UACGUAGGGUGCAAGCGUUAAUCGGAAUUACUGGGCGUAAAGCGUGCGCAGGCGGUUGUGUAAGACAGAUGUGAAAUCCCCGGGCUCAACCUGGGAACUGCAUUUGUGACUGCACGGCUGGAGUGCGGCAGAGGGGGAUGGAAUUCCGCGUGUAGCAGUGAAAUGCGUAGAGAUGCGGAGGAACACCGAUGGCGAAGGCAGCCCCCUGGGCCAACACUGACGCUCAGGCACGAAAGCGUGGGGAGCAAACAGG
Molecule: ribosomal RNA, 253 nt
Filed under: uncultured bacterium
Lineage: Bacteria
Description: partial 16S ribosomal RNA
Rfam family: Bacterial small subunit ribosomal RNA
Source: RNAcentral